CCACCAAGUCUGCUCUGUCCAGAGAAUCAAGUGCCAGUGGUGACCAUGCUCACAAUUCUUUACCCCACCAUAGCCAGAACAUUCUAGGGAGUUGCUGGCCUAUAUGAAGCUUGUUCCAUAAUCAUCUCAGAACUCCUACCAGAAAGAGUGAAGAUUCAAGAUGAAGCGUUGACUGAAGAGGAGGCUACUCCAGUGUCUGCUCAUCAAGUGGAUGGAGCUAACUAACUGAUGAUUGGGUAGAAGGAUCUAGGCCUCUUCACUACAAUAAGGCAAGCCCCGGUGCAUGCAACCCCUUCCUUGUGUUUUUAAAUACUUUUCGCACACUUAAGUCUAGUGAAAUGUGCAUUAGGUUUAUAGGAGUUGCUUGAAACCCUUUGAUGCAUUGCCUUCCUUGAUAUCCAUACUUUUAUAGAUACUUCUGGUGAAGUAUCAAAAUUUGAUUUACAAAAAUGCUUAGCCCUGCUUAGAUCUUGUGGAUAGAGGUUGUCUUUUACAAUACUGCCUAGCUCAGGGGUUAUACUGAGGAAAGAUGGCUUCUACAUGCAAGAAUACUUUCAUUGAGAGCGUGGUGGGAUCUUACUGCAAAGCUCCCUGUGAUGCUCUUUUCAUCCUAAGGAACAGAAACAAUCCUAAGGAUGGAAGUACUUAAAUCGAGACUUGGGUUAGGAACAGGUGAUGUUCUACCCAGGUUGAUUAAGGAUUGGAUGCGUAUGUAGGCCUGCUAGCGCAAGGACUAUCUUAGCUAGCCGCAUACCCUGGAAAUGGGACAGGGUAAGCUUUGCCUCGGGCAGACUAAGGCCAGAAUAAGAUAACACGAAAUGGGUGUGGAGCGGUGGCGGGAGUAGCGUGUACCCUCCGUGGCAAGAGGCUAGACGGUGGUGUAUCUGUGCUCUCGGUUUGCGUGAACCUGAUCUGGUCUUAAGAACCCUGGGGUCGAGUUGACAUAUGCAAGGAUUAAGUGCUACAUAUGUCGUGUGGUUAGAGAUCCUCAGCUGAGUAAAUCGAUUCGGAUCGCCGUUAUAUCCCCGGAGAGUGGAGACUUGAUCACUGACCUACAAC
This 1059-nucleotide long non-coding RNA is filed under the name Zea mays. Its description in RNAcentral is "drought responsive lncRNA". The record is from RNAcentral. Lineage: Eukaryota; Viridiplantae; Streptophyta; Magnoliopsida; Poales; Poaceae.